UACGGAGGGUGCAAGCGUUGUCCGGAAUUAUUGGGCGUAAAGCGCGCGCAGGCGGUAAUUUAAGUCUUGUGUUUAAUCCCGGAGCUCAACUCCGGGUCGCAUGGGAAACUGGGUUACUUGAGUGCAGAAGAGGAGAGUGGAAUUCCACGUGUAGCGGUGAAAUGCGUAGAGAUGUGGAGGAACACCAGUGGCGAAGGCGGCUCUCUGGGCUGUAACUGACGCUGAGGCGCGAAAGCGUGGGGAGCAAACAGG
Molecule: unclassified non-coding RNA, 252 nt
Filed under: uncultured Paenibacillaceae bacterium
Lineage: Bacteria; Bacillati; Bacillota; Bacilli; Caryophanales; Paenibacillaceae
Description: contains 16S-23S intergenic spacer region
Rfam family: Bacterial small subunit ribosomal RNA
Source: RNAcentral